CCAUGAUGGAUGGAAGGUUCCAGGUCAAAUGAAUUGCCUGAUUUGCUUUAUUCCGUUCCUGCUGAGU
This 67-nucleotide small nucleolar RNA is filed under the name Euglena gracilis. RNAcentral describes it as "Eg-m68 box C/D methylation-guide snoRNA". Lineage: Eukaryota; Euglenozoa; Euglenophyceae; Euglenales; Euglenaceae. The record is from RNAcentral.